UACGUAGGGUGCAAGCGUUGUCCGGAAUUACUGGGCGUAAAGCGCGUGUAGGCGGGCGGCCAAGUCUGUGGUGAAAUCGCCUGGCUUAACUGGGCGGGGUCCAUGGAAACUGGUCACCUGGAGGUCGGUAGAGGCAAGUGGAAUUCCCGGUGUAGUGGUGAAAUGCGUAGAGAUCGGGAGGAACACCAGUGGCGAAGGCGGCUUGCUGGGCCGGACCUGACGCUGAGACGCGAAGGCGUGGGGAGCGAACGGG
This 253-nucleotide ribosomal RNA is filed under the name uncultured bacterium. Its description in RNAcentral is "partial 16S ribosomal RNA". It matches the Rfam family "Bacterial small subunit ribosomal RNA", at positions 524 to 776 of the family's 1533-position model. The record is from RNAcentral.